This 509-nucleotide ribosomal RNA is filed under the name uncultured bacterium. Its description in RNAcentral is "partial 16S ribosomal RNA". The stretch from base 20 to 328 matches the Rfam family "Bacterial small subunit ribosomal RNA", at positions 47 to 358 of the family's 1533-position model. The record is from RNAcentral.
GACGAACGCUGGCGGCGUGCUUAACACAUGCAAGUCGAACGGAAAGGCCCUGCUUUUGUGGGGUGCUCGAGUGGCGAACGGGUGAGUAACACGUGAGUAACCUGCCCUUGACUUUGGGAUAACUUCAGGAAACUGGGGCUAAUACCGGAUAGGAGCUCCUGCUGCAUGGUGGGGGUUGGAAAGUUUCGGCGGUUGGGGAUGGACUCGCGGCUUAUCAGCUUGUUGGUGGGGUAGUGGCUUACCAAGGCUUUGACGGGUAGCCGGCCUGAGAGGGUGACCGGCUAGAGUGGGGCUGGGUGCAGGCCCAGAAGCGGGGGGGGGGAGGGAGGGGGAACGAUGGAACAGGGGGCGGGAGCGGGUGGCGGCGGCGCCGGGUGGGGUGGGGGGGCCGUGGGUUGGAACCGCGUGUGGGCCUGCGAGGAGGCGUGGGGGAUGGGAGUGGGCAAAGAGGCCCGGGCUAACGACGCGCCAGCGGCCGGGGUUAUAAGAGGCAGAGCACACGUCUGAAC